GACAUAGGUGGCGAACGUUAUCCGGAUUUAUUGGGCGUAAAGCGUCCGCAGGUGGCUAUGUAAGUCUGCUGUUAAAGAGUGAGGCUCAACCUCAUAAGAGCAGUGGAAACUACAUGGCUAGAGUGCGUUCGGGGCAGAGGGAAUUCCUGGUGUAGCGGUGAAAUGCGUAGAGAUCAGGAAGAACACCGGUGGCGAAAGCGCUCUGCUAGGCCGCAACUGACACUCAUGGACGAAAGCUAGGGGAGCGAAUGGG
RNAcentral lists this ribosomal RNA (253 nucleotides) under uncultured bacterium. Its description in RNAcentral is "partial 16S ribosomal RNA". It matches the Rfam family "Bacterial small subunit ribosomal RNA", at positions 524 to 776 of the family's 1533-position model. The record is from RNAcentral.